RNAcentral lists this transfer RNA (63 nucleotides) under Daphnia magna. Its description in RNAcentral is "tRNA-Asp". Lineage: Eukaryota; Metazoa; Arthropoda; Branchiopoda; Diplostraca; Daphniidae. The record is from RNAcentral.
GAAGAGUUAGUUAAAUAAUAACAUUAAUUUGUCAUGUUAAAAUCACUUUAGAAGUACUUUUCU